GAAACUACAAGUAAGCUUCAAGUGAAAUUGAUACAUUACCUUGCGCAUCUUCAUCGGUUAAAGAUACCACCCCUGGAUGGAGGAAAAGUACUUCUAGAGAAGAUGCCACAUCUACAUAUGAGACAGAUAAGGCAAGUGAAAAUGAUACCACACAUUGGUACUUAGAAGUUUCAUGAUUACUCAAUGGCUUGGAUCUUACAAGUCCCCAACCGAGGAGCUUCCCUUACUCGGGAACUUAGGGGAGCACUGUUUGUACCAUACUUGACCAAUCCUAAAACUACUCAACACCGAUCAAAGUUAUACUGUCAAGGACCUAGAAGAGUUUCCUUCCAAUCAGGAGGCCAAUCACAGUGCGACACGUGUCGACAUCAGAAGCUAAUCAUAGCGCGACAUGUGUCAACAUCAGAAGCCAAUCACAACAUGCCACGUGUCAAUGUCAGAAUGAAACUAGAAACUCUUUUCUAUAAAUAGAGAUCAUUCCCUCGCAAUAUUUCCUAAUGUCAUUGAAGAAAAAUUUGUCCUAGCUAAGAACAUGUGAGAACAUUUGAACACAUAUGCAAACUAAUAACACAUUAAAGUAGGCAUCCAUUAAAAAACAAUUCUGAAACCCAUGACUUUCAAAACCUAGUGAAUGGAGAACCACAAGACUCUUUAACAAUAUGAAAGAGAAUGAAGGAUUUAGAGAUUCAUUACCGUUGAAGCUCAUCCUUGUUUACACAAGGGAUUCACCUAAGUGGAGGGUCUUCAAGUCACCUUCUAGCUCCUUGGAUCUUCCUUGUGUUUUUCUUCUUUUUGAUGCUCCUUUGCUCCUUGAGGAUGUGAGGAAAGGAUCUCCAAGAACACUAAAGAUUUGGUGUCUCUAAGUCUCCACACCAAGGAUGAGGUGUGAAGAUGAAAUGGAUGACUUAGAGAAGAAACGAUUGCUAGCUAAUUCUUCCCUAAGUGGCCGGCCUCCUUUUAGAGAAAAGGAGAGAAAGUGUUUCUCUUCUUUGCCUCAAGAAAACCGUAAUGAGAAAAAGCUAUAAAGUUGACUUUAUACUACAUCACAUGUGAGUGGCAAACUUGUAAUUAAUUCAAGUUUGCAUCCACUCACCCUUAUGGCCGGCCUUGUCUUUGUUAUUGGGCUAAUUGCCCAUUUUGUUUUAGUUGUCAAACAACUUAAACAUAAUGGGCCUUGAGGACCAAAACACUUCUGGCCCCCGAAACCUAAAACCAACU
Molecule: long non-coding RNA, 1218 nt
Filed under: Malus domestica (apple)
Lineage: Eukaryota; Viridiplantae; Streptophyta; Magnoliopsida; Rosales; Rosaceae
Description: long non-coding RNA (MDOM_LNC005700)
Source: RNAcentral